RNAcentral lists this ribosomal RNA (462 nucleotides) under uncultured bacterium. RNAcentral describes it as "bacterial SSU rRNA". It matches the Rfam family "Bacterial small subunit ribosomal RNA", at positions 28 to 372 of the family's 1533-position model. The record is from RNAcentral.
GAUGAACGCUGGCGGCGUGCUUAACACAUGCAAGUCGAGCGGGCAAUUUAUCUAGCACUGAUUACUUCAAAUGGCUAUCGCCAGUGUAAUCACGAAUUUCUACCUUUUAAUAAAGAAAAAGAAAUUCAUGUACGCAAAUAGUGAUAACACAUGAAAGUGGAGUGAUGAGUGCUGGAUAAAUUGCUAGCGGCGGACGGGUGCGUAACACGUGGGUAACCUGCCCCUAUCACUGGGAUAACACACUGAAAAGUGUGCUAAUACCAGAUAACAUAAGCUUUUGGCAUCAUUAGCUUAUCAAAGAAUUUCGGAUAGGGAUGGGCCCGCGUCUGAUUAGCUAGUUGGUGAGGUAACGGCUCACCAAGGCAACGAUCAGUAGCCGACCUGAGAGGGUGAUCGGCCACACUGGAACUGAGACACGGUCCAGACUCCUACGGGAGGCAGCAGUGGGGAAUAUUGCACAAU